RNAcentral lists this ribosomal RNA (547 nucleotides) under uncultured bacterium. RNAcentral's name for it is "bacterial SSU rRNA". It matches the Rfam family "Bacterial small subunit ribosomal RNA", at positions 355 to 896 of the family's 1533-position model. The record is from RNAcentral.
UGGGGAAUAUUGCGCAAUGGGGGGAACCCUGACGCAGCCAUGCCGCGUGAAUGAAGAAGGCCUUCGGGUUGUAAAGUUCUUUCGGUAUUGAGGAAGGUUGAUGUGUUAAUAGCACAUCAAAUUGACGUUAAAUACAGUAGAAGCACCGGCUAACUCCGUGCCAGCAGCCGCGGUAAUACGGAGGGUGCGAGCGUUAAUCGGAAUAACUGGGCGUAAAGGGCACGCAGGCGGUUAUUUAAGUGAGGUGUGAAAGCCCCGGGCUUAACCUGGGAAUUGCAUUUCAGACUGGGUAACUAGAGUACUUUAGGGAGGGGUAGAAUUCCACGUGUAGCGGUGAAAUGCGUAGAGAUGUGGAGGAAUACCGAAGGCGAAGGCAGCCCCUUGGGAAUGUACUGACGCUCAUGUGCGAAAGCGUGGGGAGCAAACAGGAUUAGAUACCCUGGUAGUCCACGCUGUAAACGCUGUCGAUUUGGGGGUUGGGGUUUAACUCUGGCGCCCGUAGCUAACGUGAUAAAUCGACCGCCUGGGGAGUACGGCCGCAAGGUUA